CGGGUGAGUAAUGCGUGACCAACCUGCCCCAUGCUCCAGAAUAGCUCUUGGAAACGGGUGGUAAUGCUGGAUGCUCCAACUUGACGCAUGUCUUGUUGGGAAAGUGUUUAGUGGCAUGGGAUGGGGUCGCGUCCUAUCAGCUUGUAGGCGGGGUAAUGGCCCACCUAGGCUUCGACGGGUAGCCGGCCUGAGAGGGCGGACGGCCACAUUGGGACUGAGAUACGGCCCAGACUCCUACGGGAGGCAGCANCA
Molecule: ribosomal RNA, 252 nt
Filed under: uncultured Gardnerella sp.
Lineage: Bacteria; Bacillati; Actinomycetota; Actinomycetes; Bifidobacteriales; Bifidobacteriaceae
Description: partial 16S ribosomal RNA
Rfam family: Bacterial small subunit ribosomal RNA
Source: RNAcentral